UGGGGAAUUUUGGACAAUGGGCGAAAGCCUGAUCCAGCAAUGCCGCGUGUGUGAAGAAGGCCUUCGGGUUGUAAAGCACUUUUGUCCGGAAAGAAAUCCUUGGCUCUAAUACAGUCGGGGGAUGACGGUACCGGAAGAAUAAGCACCGGCUAACUACGUGCCAGCAGCCGCGGUAAUACGUAGGGUGCAAGCGUUAAUCGGAAUUACUGGGCGUAAAGCGUGCGCAGGCGGUUUGCUAAGACCGAUGUGAAAUCCCCGGGCUCAACCUGGGAACUGCAUUGGUGACUGGCAGGCUAGAGUAUGGCAGAGGGGGGUCAGAAUUCCACGUGUAGCAGUGAAAUGCGUAGAGAUGUGGAGGAAUACCGAUGGCGAAGGCAGCCCCCUGGGCCAAUACUGACGCUCAUGCACGAAAGCGUGGGGAGCAAACAGGAUUAGAUACCCUGGUAGUCCACGCCCUAAAACGAUGUCAACUAGUUGUUGGGGAUUCAUUUCCUUAGUAACGUAGCUAACGCGUGAAGUUGACCGCCUGGGGAGUACGGUCGCAAGAUU
Molecule: ribosomal RNA, 549 nt
Filed under: uncultured bacterium
Lineage: Bacteria
Description: partial 16S ribosomal RNA
Rfam family: Bacterial small subunit ribosomal RNA
Source: RNAcentral